Molecule: ribosomal RNA, 802 nt
Filed under: marine metagenome
Description: bacterial SSU rRNA
Rfam family: Bacterial small subunit ribosomal RNA
Source: RNAcentral
CGAAAGCCUGAUCCAGCAAUGCCGCGUGUGUGAAGAAGGCCUUCGGGUUGUAAAGCACUUUUGUCCGGAAAGAAAUCCUUGGCUCUAAUACAGUCGGGGGAUGACGGUACCGGAAGAAUAAGCACCGGCUAACUACGUGCCAGCAGCCGCGGUAAUACGUAGGGUGCGAGCGUUAAUCGGAAUUACUGGGCGUAAAGCGUGCGCAGGCGGUUUGCUAAGACCGAUGUGAAAUCCCCGGGCUCAACCUGGGAACUGCAUUGGUGACUGGCAGGCUAGAGUAUGGCAGAGGGGGGUAGAAUUCCACGUGUAGCAGUGAAAUGCGUAGAGAUGUGGAGGAAUACCGAUGGCGAAGGCAGCCCCCUGGGCCAAUACUGACGCUCAUGCACGAAAGCGUGGGGAGCAAACAGGAUUAGAUACCCUGGUAGUCCACGCCCUAAACGAUGUCAACUAGUUGUUGGGGAUUCAUUUCCUUAGUAACGUAGCUAACGCGUGAAGUUGACCGCCUGGGGAGUACGGUCGCAAGAUUAAAACUCAAAGGAAUUGACGGGGACCCGCACAAGCGGUGGAUGAUGUGGAUUAAUUCGAUGCAACGCGAAAAACCUUACCUACCCUUGACAUGGUCGGAAUCCCGCUGAGAGGUGGGAGUGCUCGAAAGAGAACCGGCGCACAGGUGCUGCAUGGCUGUCGUCAGCUCGUGUCGUGAGAUGUUGGGUUAAGUCCCGCAACGAGCGCAACCCUUGUCCUUAGUUGCUACGCAAGAGCACUCUAAGGAGACUGCCGGUGACAAACCGGAGGAAGGUGG